UACGGGGAGGCAGCAGUGGGGAAUAUUGCACAAUGGGGGAAACCCUGAUGCAGCCAUGCCGCGUGUGUGAAGAAGGCCUUCGGGUUGUUAAAGCACUUUCAGUAGGGAGGAAGGUAGUGUAGUUAACACCUGCAUUAUUUGACGUUACCUACAGAAGAAGCACCGGCUAACUCCGUGCCAGCAGCCGCGGUAAUACGGAGGGUGCGAGCGUUAAUCGGAAUUACUGGGCGUAAAGCGCAUGCAGGCGGCCUGUUAAGUCAGAUGUGAAAGCCCGGGGCUUAACCUCGGAAUUGCAUUUGAAACUGGCAGGCUAGAGUCUUGUAGAGGGGGGUAGGAAUUUCAGGUGUAGCGGUGAAAUGCGUAGAGAUCUGAAGGAAUACCAGUGGCGAAGGCGGCCCCCUGGACAAAGACUGACGCUCAGAUGCGAAAGCGUGGGGAGCAAACAGGAUUAGAUACCCUGGUAG
Molecule: ribosomal RNA, 464 nt
Filed under: uncultured bacterium
Lineage: Bacteria
Description: bacterial SSU rRNA
Rfam family: Bacterial small subunit ribosomal RNA
Source: RNAcentral